Molecule: long non-coding RNA, 745 nt
Organism: Gadus chalcogrammus (walleye pollock)
Lineage: Eukaryota; Metazoa; Chordata; Actinopteri; Gadiformes; Gadidae
Exons: 3
Source: RefSeq, a predicted model, not a curated record
UCAACAGUUUACUGAGAGAAAAAUGCCACACGUCAGAAGGAGAACCACCUCCCGUGGGCUAGUUCCUGCAUGGAACAACAUCAUGUCGCGUUGUCACGCUACCUCAAGGGGAGGGCAGAGGAGGGCAGUGAAGCCAUUUAUUUUGGGCUCACCCCUAAUGAGCUGCCCAUUCCCUGCAUCCUGGUCGAGGAAGGACUGGAUCACCUCCUUCAUGGAGCGCAGUAGCAGCCUCCCCCUUCGGCGUCCAGAGGCCACUAGCCAACAACGGUUGUCCAGCUUCAAUCAAAACAAUGUCAACUUGUUCUACCAAAAUUGAAAGACGGUGCUGGACCGGCACCAGUUCCAGGCCAAGGAUAUUUGGAACAUUAAUGAAACCGGGGUCACCACUGUCCAGGUGCCAGACCGUGUCGUCGCCCAGAUGGGGCAGAAGCAGGUCGGGUCAGUGACCUCAGCGGAGAGGUCCUUGAAUGCAAUGCGCAGGGCGACCUUGUUCCGCCAUUCUUUAUCUUCCCCCGUAAGCGGUUCGAAGACCACUUCCUGAGGGGUGGACCCGUUGGCUGUGCUGGCACCGCCAACCCAACUGGCUGGAGGAAGGAGCCAGACUUCCUCCUGUACCUGGCCCACUUCACCAGUCAAACCCGUGUCCAAGGAGUCGAAGCUGCUCCGCCUGCUGGACAAUCACCCGUCCCACCUGUCAAUUGCAGCAAUCGAUUACUGCAGAGCCAACGGCAUAGUGCUGCUGUCA